CGGUUGAUCCUGCCGGAGGUCACCGCUAUUGGAAUCCGCUUAAGCCAUGCGAGUCGAGAGGGUUCGGCCCUCGGCAUACUGCUCAGUAACACGUGGACAAUCUGCCCUCAGGAGGGGGAUAAUCUCGGGAAACUGAGAAUAAUACCCCAUAGACCCCUUAUGCUGGAACGCUUUGGGGUUCAAAGCUGCGGCGCCUGAGGAUGAGUCUGCGGCUCAUCAGGUUGUAGUGAGUGUAACGGACUCACUAGCCGACAACGAGUACGGGCCUUGGAAGAGGUCGCCCGGAGAUGGACUCUGAGACACGAGUCCAGGCCCUACGGGGCGCAGCAGGCGCGAAAACUUCGCAAUGCGGGAAACCGCGACGAGGGGAUUCCAAGUGCUCAUGGUUUUCCAUGGGCUGUUUUCCUGCCUAAAAAGCAGGGAGAGUAAGGGCUGGGCAAGACGGGUGCCAGCCGCCGCGGUAAUACCCGCAGCCCGAGUGGUGAUCGUUAUUAUUGGGCCUAAAGCGUCCGUAGCCUGCUUGGUAAAUCCUUGGGUAAAUCGGGCAGCUUAACUGUCCGAAUUCCGGGGAGACUGCCAAGCUUGGAACCGGGAGAGGUCGGAGGUACUCCGGGGGUAGAGGUGAAAUUCUGUAAUCCUCGGGGGACCACCAGUGGCGAAGGCGUCCGACUUGAACGGGUUCGACGGUGAGGGACGAAGCCCUGGGGCACAAACCGGAUUAGAUACCCGGGUAGUCCAGGGUGUAAACGCUGCGGGCUUGGUGUU
This 765-nucleotide ribosomal RNA is filed under the name uncultured archaeon. RNAcentral's name for it is "bacterial SSU rRNA". It matches the Rfam family "Archaeal small subunit ribosomal RNA", at positions 5 to 775 of the family's 1478-position model. The record is from RNAcentral.